Manis pentadactyla (Chinese pangolin) is the source of this 2482-nucleotide long non-coding RNA. RefSeq lists it as uncharacterized. NCBI's taxonomy places the organism in Eukaryota, Metazoa, Chordata, Mammalia, Pholidota, Manidae. The transcript has 4 exons. The record is from RefSeq and is a predicted model, not a curated record.
GAAGAGAAAGGAGAGAGCCAGGAUGAUGAGGACGUGAUUCCUGUGUCACCCGAUUCCGGCUUGAAUGCCGACUCUAACCACCUACCAGCCAGGUGACCUUCUGUCCCCUCACCAGCCUGACCUUCUCAUCUGGAACUUUGGAAUUCACCAAAAUAGGAACCGAUCUGAAGAGAGGAGCUUUAUGUGUGGAAGCCCAGGACUUGGGAGGCAGGGAGACUUGGGACCGAGGCUGCCGUGGGGACCCGUGCACUUGAUUUCCACUGAUGGAAUGAACAAAAUCUGGACCGCAGAGGAGCCUAAUUCUACUCACGAUGCGAACUGCCUUUUUAAAAGGCUUCAAAAGGGACCUUGAGAGGAUGGCUGAAGCGACCCUCAUCAUUUUACAGUUCUACACCGCGUGCCCUGCGUCUGCAGGUUGGGUAUGCGGCCCCUUCCCCAAGAUGAUGAAUUCACCAGGGGCCGCAUGGGCUGCUGAGAACAACUCGCUUUUGAAUGGAUUCUCGUGUGGCUCAGUCCAAACAUCACCAUCAGCUGGAACUGGGAAGCAGAAUCGUUUGUGUUUUGUUUUUCCCAAUGGCGUCCAUUUCAGCUCAACAGCUCAGUUCUUGGAAAAGCCUCUUCUUCUUGACUCUGGAGAAGAUACACUUCCCUGGACGUCUAAAAUUGAAUAAGGAAACAAGUUAAUGAGUAUAUACGUCUUUAAAAAGGCCCCUGUGACCCCCCCCCACCCCAACUUCAGUCUUAAUUCCUCUGUCUGUUUCAGGUGUUUUUCCUGUUUUGCUGUCUGAGCAGUAUUUCUGGGCUCUGCGUUAUGAGGAGCAUCGAUCCCUGUGAAUUCUGUGCCCCAGGAGCUUCCCUAAGCUCAUUUGGAGAGUUUCUUUUCUGCUCUUUUUGCAUUAUUUCAGCUAAAGAGGAGUAGAAAUUGGUAUUUACUCUAAAUGCUUUGGCCAUGGGCUCUCAACUAAGCAAGCAACCCCUCCCCAACAAAACUAAAAGAUAGAAUUUUAACUUGCUUUAAAGGCUACAGUUGGGUUUAGAAUCCCCCAAGUAAAGUCAUUUUUUGACUCUGCUCUGACUUAAAUUUUCUUGCCUUAAAAAAACCCCAAAACACAGUUUCAUUAAACGAUUGCUCCCUUUUUUGGCCAGGAGGAUAGGAAACCAGUUACAGAAACUGUUGGCAUGUUUUGCAAAGAGAAUCUCAGCAAAAAACCUCUUAAAGUUUACUCCAGGGAGGUGGGGAAUGGGAGGGUUCCCUGUGCAUUAGUGACCCAGUCCUGCCUGGAGGCAUUUCUUAUCUGGGCAAAAAGCCCCUAUGCGCAGUGUGGUGAAACUUGCAAAUGACACUGUCACCUUUCUCAAUGGACUAGUAUGGCCCAGAGCUCACCAGCUCACCGGAGGUUGCGCCACAUAACCUGGCUAGUGUUUGGAAACAAAGGAAUAACCAGCUGCCUGGCUUCCUUGAAUUAUCCCACGUUCUUUGAUGGUUUUGGUGGAGAGAAAGCCAUCGCCUGCCAAGAGCUCCCCUGAAGGGGUUUUUCCUGAUUUGUGCCAAGUUAAGCAUUCCGACAUGAAGCAGCACGAGUUCAUGCUCAACUGCGUGAGUCACAGACACCAAGCCAUCUCCAGGUUUGGGCUGAAGAAUGUGAUGUAGCUGCAAGGACACGACCUGUGUAUGGUCUUCAUCUGAAACCUAGCACCCGGGCAGGGCAAGCUGAGAACAGGCAGGCACCAGCCAUCUAAGGGCCCCUCAAAUCUGGUUUUUUAGAGAGAUUUUCUUCCUCCUGAACCCAUUUUCCAAAUGCUUCAUUGCCAAAGCCAUGGUUUUAUUUGCCUUAGGUGCAGACUUGUCAAGAGACUAUAGGCAGUGUUCCUCCAUUCACAUGUGUGCUGGGUUUGUGAGCCAGUGUGGAUGUGUGGAUCUGUGUUGUCCAUGUGUCUGUCUGUAAGUGUGUUAUUUGAAUGUGUGCAUAUACCUAUUUAUUCCUGUAUAUAAUGUAUUUCUAUGUAUGAACGUGUUCCUGGUGGGUAUACAUACAUAUCUGAUGAUAUAUAUGUGUAUUUGGAGUGGACAUUGGUGAAGCCCUUAUCCUCCGUCUGGAAAGGAUCCCAGCUUCUCAGCUCCAAGCGAGCAGCUUGCCUGUCCCACCACCUCCCAGUGUGCCCCAUCACUCACCAACAAGGUACAAAGGCUGGCCCCCUUUCUGCAAGGUAGAACCGACCGUAUGGUGUAAGGCACGCUCUGGAGAUCAGGACAUGACUCGCCUCCAGCUGAGACCAAUCCUCGCUCAGCUCCCGGCUGCCCUGUUCUUUUCUUCAUCCCUGCCCCCCAGGGGCCCUCCCUAAGUGUAUUUCAUGCAUCAGAAUCCCUGUCUCAGGCUCUGCUCUAGGCAGCCUGGCUUAAGGCAGUACUUUUAUAUAUGUGUAUGUGAGUGCAUAUGUAUACACAUGUGUGCACGCAUGCAUAUGUGUGGGUGCCCACAAA